Molecule: ribosomal RNA, 440 nt
Filed under: uncultured bacterium
Lineage: Bacteria
Description: partial 16S ribosomal RNA
Rfam family: Bacterial small subunit ribosomal RNA
Source: RNAcentral
CCUACGGGAGGCAGCAGUAGGGAAUUUUGCGCAAUGGGCGAAAGCCUGACGCAGCAACGCCGCGUGAUCGAGACGCCCUUCGGGGUGUAAAGAUCUGUCAGUGGGGACGAAACUUGACGGUACCCACAGAGGAAGCACCGGCCAACUCCGUGCCAGCAGCCGUGGCAACACGGGGGGUGCAAGCGUUGUCCGGAAGCAUUGGGCGUAAAGAGUUCGUAGGCGGCACGUAAAGUCUGGUGUUAAAGGCAGAGGCUCAACUUCCGUACGGCAAUGGAUACUUGCGAGCUAGAGUGCGGUAGAGGUAGGGGGAAUGCCUGGUGUAGCGGUGAAAUGCUUAGAGAUCAGGAGGAACAUCGGUGGCGUAAGCGCUUUACUGGGCCGUAAUUGACGCUGAGGAACGAAAGCCAGGGUAGCAAAUGGGAUUAGAUACCCGGGUAGUC